Molecule: ribosomal RNA, 253 nt
Filed under: uncultured bacterium
Lineage: Bacteria
Description: partial 16S ribosomal RNA
Rfam family: Bacterial small subunit ribosomal RNA
Source: RNAcentral
UACGAAGGGGGCUAGCGUUGCUCGGAAUCACUGAGCGUAAAGCGCACGUAGGCGGAUUGCUAAGUCAGGGGUGAAAUCCUGGAGCUCAACUCCAGAACUGCCUUUGAUACUGGCGAUCUCGAGUCCGGGAGAGGUGAGUGGAACUGCGAGUGUAGAGGUGAAAUUCGUAGAUAUUCGCAAGAACACCAGUGGCGAAGGCGGCUCACUGGCCCGGUACUGACGCUGAGGUGCGAAAGCGUGGGGAGCAAACAGG